GAGUUUGAUCUUGGCUCAGAUUGAACGCUGGCGGCAGGCCUAACACAUGCAAGUCGAGCGGAUGACGGGAGCUUGCUCCUUGAUUCAGCGGCGGACGGGUGAGUAAUGCCUGGGAAUCCGCCUGGUAGUGGGGGACAACGUUUCGAAAGGAACGCUAAUACCGCAUACGUCCUACGGGAGAAAGCAGGGGACCUUCGGGCCUUGCGCUAUCAGAUGAGCCUAGGUCGGAUUAGCUAGUUGGUGGGGUAAUGGCUCACCAAGGCGACGAUCCGUAACUGGUCUGAGAGGAUGAUCAGUCACACUGGAACUGAGACACGGUCCAGACCUCCUACGGGAGCAGCAGGUGGGAAUAUUGGACAAUGGGCGAAAGCCUGAUCCAGCCAUGCCGCGUGUGUGAAGAAGGUCUUCGGAUUGUAAAGCACUUCAAGUUGGGAGGAAGGCAGUAAGUUAAUACCUUACUGUUUGACGUUACCGACAGAAUAAGCACCGG
Molecule: ribosomal RNA, 490 nt
Filed under: bacterium enrichment culture clone ALO1_GLFRUDD03GZP3K
Lineage: Bacteria
Description: bacterial SSU rRNA
Rfam family: Bacterial small subunit ribosomal RNA
Source: RNAcentral